CCUACGGGAGGCAGCAGUGGGGAAUAUUGCGCAAUGGGCGAAAGCCUGACGCAGCGACGCCGCGUGAGGGAUGAAGGUCUUCGGAUCGUAAACCUCUGUCAGCAGGGAAGAACGGUCACUGUGCUAAUCAGCAGUGAAUUGACGGUACCUGCAAAGUAAGCACCGGCUAACUCCGUGCCAGCAGCCGCGGUAAUACGGAGGGUGCGAGCGUUAAUCGGAAUUAGUGGGCGUAAAGCGCUCGUAGGCGGUAUGGCAAGUUAAGGGUGAAGGCCCCGCGCUCAACGUGGGAACUGCCUUUGAAACUGGCAAACUGGAGUGUGUGAGAGGAUAGUGGAAGUCCAGGUGUAGGAGUGAAAUCCGUAGAUAUCAGGAGGAACAUCAGUUGCGAAGGCGACUAUCUGGCACAUAACUGACGCUGAGGAGCGAAAGCGUGGGUAGCAAACAGGAUUAGAUACCCCUGUAGUC
Molecule: ribosomal RNA, 465 nt
Filed under: uncultured bacterium
Lineage: Bacteria
Description: partial 16S ribosomal RNA
Rfam family: Bacterial small subunit ribosomal RNA
Source: RNAcentral